CACAUUCUGUAGAUCCAAUAUUU
This 23-nucleotide microRNA is filed under the name Monodelphis domestica (gray short-tailed opossum). Its description in RNAcentral is "Mdo-Mir-7360-P2b_5p (mature (guide))". Lineage: Eukaryota; Metazoa; Chordata; Mammalia; Didelphimorphia; Didelphidae. The record is from RNAcentral.